GUGUCAGCCGCCGCGGUAAUACGGAGGGGGCUAGCGUUGUUCGGAAUUACUGGGCGUAAAGGGCGCGCAGGCGGCUGCUCAAGUCAGGCGUGAAAGGCCUGGGCUCAACCCGGGAAUUGCGCUUGAGACUGGGCUGGCUUGAGUGCGGGAGAGGAUGGUGGAAUUCCCAGUGUAGAGGUGAAAUUCGUAGAUAUUGGGAAGAACACCGGUGGCGAAGGCGGCCAUCUGGACCGCAACUGACGCUGAGGCGCGAAAGCGUGGGGAGCAAACAGGAUUAGAAACCCCCGUAGUCC
This 293-nucleotide ribosomal RNA is filed under the name uncultured bacterium. RNAcentral's name for it is "partial 16S ribosomal RNA". It matches the Rfam family "Bacterial small subunit ribosomal RNA", at positions 505 to 796 of the family's 1533-position model. The record is from RNAcentral.